This is a long non-coding RNA of Ctenopharyngodon idella (grass carp), 3167 nucleotides long. RefSeq lists it as uncharacterized. The transcript is spliced from 3 exons. The record is from RefSeq and is a predicted model, not a curated record. Lineage: Eukaryota; Metazoa; Chordata; Actinopteri; Cypriniformes; Xenocyprididae.
AAAUGCUUUGACUAGCGCUGUGAGUGUCAGCAGGGCAUGGGAAAACCCAUUAAAUGUUAAAAGGACAAGAUCGCAGCAGACAUUCAAAUGGAUUUUUUGUUAUGAACAUAGGACUGACCUGAAGGAAAAUGCUAAAUUUGAAUGCAGGUGUAGCAUGAAAUGGCUGAUAUGAAUUCGAAAUCAUCUUUGUGAUGGAUGCCAACAUCAUUUACUGCUCUCUGUCUCAUUGUUACAUCUUUAGAGCGUUGUGAUUCAAAGCGCCCCUUGAGAUCAUAUCACUCUGCCUCAGCCAUUGUUUGACAGGAAGUAGCAGCGGUUGCAGUGAUUUGAUCCAUGAAGUGAGAGAAAUCAUGAAAAGCACUGGAAGCGUCAUGUCUCCUCUGAUUUUUUAAGCUAAGUGGAAUUUUAACAUUCAAAUAACAUCCAAAAAAUGCAUUUUAAUUAUUAAGGUUAACACUUUAUUUCGAUAGUCCACUUUAGACAUUCUACUAACUAUAAGUAACUUUGCAACUACUGUACAUGUCAACUAUAUCAAUCAUUAGAGAAUUAGAAUGUCAUUGUGGACUAUUUGAAUAAAGUGUAACCUUAUUAAUUUUUUAACUUUUGUAUGUAAUUUUUUUUUAGAUAGAUCGACAGACAGACAGACCAGUCACAAACAACCUGUUCCCUCUAAAGUAACAUUAAAUCAAACUUUUGUGUAGUUAAGUUUCCACAAACAUCAAUCAAAGCCAGUCACAAUAAAACUCUCCUUUAAAACCCAAUUAGAAUCCAUCCGACUGACUCUCACACAACCACACACAUACAUACACAUAUACAUCUGACCCCUGUUGUCUUUCUAGAUAAAUGAAGGAGUGAGCGUGAGAAGUAAGUGAGUAAAAUGUGACAUCGCUCUCCCCCAGCGCACUCUGCCUGCUGGGCUCUCAAAACCCAGAGUCACCCAAUUAAGGCCUGCUGUGUGUGUCUGUUGUGUGUGUGACUCAAUGGUGGAUGCUGAGAGCGUGUGUCAAAGAGCGAGAGUGAGAAAUGGAUGAAUUCACUGGUCUUUUUUGGGUCCCUGCCAUUUUCAGUGUUAGGUCAAAGACAGAAAAAAGAUGAGAAGAGAAAGAGGGAGUGAGAUAUAGAAGGACAAAUGAAGGCGAUCACUGUGGAAACUGCCUGAGUGCACAGAUGAAAGAGGAGAGGCAAAAUGAAUGAGCAUGGGUGAAGGUGAAGUCCUCCUCUCAAGUCCUCCUCUCGCCUCUCCUUUUCCUUUUUGUUCUUCUCGUCUUGCCUCCUCAUCUCAAAUACUGUCCUCUCAUCAUUUUGCCUGGUCUCCUCGUCUCGUUUUCUUGUUUCUCUCUUAAUUUUACAUCUCCUCGUCUCUCCUCUCCUCAUUUUUCUCCUCUCCUCCAUCACUGUCUCUCCUUUUUUCUUCUUGUCCCAUCUUGUCCCCUCUUCUCCCCUCAUAAUUUCUCCUCUUCAUCUCUGUCCUCUUCUUGUCUCUCCUCUUUUUGUCUAUUCUCUUCAUCUACCCUCAUCUCUCCUUUCAUUUUUUCUCAUCAUCGUUCUCUCCACUCCUUUUCUCUUCUCAUUGCUCCCCUUCUCCUCACCUCUAUUUUCCUCAUCAUUUCUCGUUCACCUCAGUCUUGUCUCUCUGUCUCAUUUUCUUGUAUCUCCUCUCUUAGUCUGUCCUCAUCUCAUCUCAUCUCAUCUCAUCUCUCCUUAUCAUUUCUCUUCUCCAUGUUUGUCUGUCCUUGUCUCUCCUCCCCCUGUCUUGUCUUGUCUCUUUGUCUCAUUUUCUUGUAUCUCCUCUCCUCUUUCCUCAUCUCUCCUCUGCUCAUCAUUUCUACUUUCCUUCAUCUCUGUCUCUCCUUGUCUCUCUUCUCUAUUUUCCUCUCUAUGUCUUGUCUUGGUUCCUUAUCGAAUCUUCUUGUAUCUCCACUCUUAAUCUUACCUCUCAUCUCCUCAUUUUUUCUCCCAUCCUCCAUCUCUGUCUCUCCUCAUCUUGUCUCCUUAUCUCAAUUUCUUGUCUCUUCUCAUUGCUCUUCUCAUUUCACCAUAUCUCCUCAAUUAUCCUCUUUUCUUUAGUCUUCUCUUCUUUCCUUUAUCUAUCCUCAGCUCUCCUUUCCUUUUCUCUCAUCAUCUCCUUUCUCCUCGCCUUUCGUCCUUGUCUCUCUUCUCCUCGUAUAUCCUCUCCUCUAAUUGUCUCUACUCCUGCUUUCUCCUCACCUCUACUUUCCUCUCCUCGUCUCUCUUUUCUCUUCUCAUUUAUCCUCUCCUCUUCUUUCCACUCCUUUCCUCUUCUCAUUGCUCCACUCCUUGCCUCUUCUCUCCUCAUCUCUCUUUUCUGUCUUCUUUUGGUCUCUUCUCUCCUCAACACUUCUCCUCCAUCUCUGUCUUCUCCUUGUCUCUUUUCUAUAUUCUCCUCUCCCUGUCUCGUCUUGUCACCUUGUUUCAUUUUCUUGUUUCUCAUCUUCUAAUCUAUCCUCUCCUCAUCUCUCCCCCUUCUCCAUCUCUGUCUCUUGUAUCUCCUCUCAUAAUCUAUAGUAUGCUCUCCUUGUCUCUCCUCUUUUCUUCUUUCCUUCUCUCACCUCAUCUUCUUAUUUCUCCUCUCCUAAUCUAUCCUCUCCUCAUCAUUUCUCCUCUCUCUUCUCCUCUCCUUAAUUGUCUUGUGUGAUCUUGUUUCCUUCUUGUCUCUCCUCAUCGCUUCUUUCAUCUUCUCUCAUUUAUCCUCUCCUCUCUUUGUAAUUCGCCUCCUCUUCUCUUUAUCUAACCUCUUAUCUCUUUUUCUCCCCCCCCAAUCUCUUUUCUCCUUGUUUUAUGUCCUUGUCUCUCCAUCUAUUCUCUCCUCAACAUGUCUUUCUUCUAUUUUUUUCUCCUCUCCUCUCUUCUACUUAUAUCCUCAUCUCUCUUUUGCAUUGUCAAAGAGAUGUCGAGAGGAAACAUAAUGGGAGGAAAGAAGAAAAGAGGAUCGAUGGAGACAAAAAGGAAGACGAGACAAGGAGGGGAGCAAUGAGGAGAGGAAAGGAGUAGAAGUGGACAGGAGAGGAUAGAUGAAAAUGUUGUAAUAAACCACAAGAUCAAAUGGAAGAAUUAGAAAAUAUCUUUCUCCAACUGUCAAAUGUCUCUUUCCCUCUUUUUUUAAUAUUAUCAUUAUUAAUCUUUCCUCUCAGUAUGCCUAUUGUAUC